GAUGAACGCUGGCGGCGUGCCUAAUACAUGCAAGUCGAGCGAACAGACGAGGAGCUUGCUCCUCUGACGUUAGCGGCGGACGGGUGAGUAACACGUGGAUAACCUACCUAUAAGACUGGGAUAACUUCGGGAAACCGGAGCUAAUACCGGAUAAUAUAUUGAACCGCAUGGUUCAAUAGUGAAAGACGGUUUUGCUGUCACUUAUAGAUGGAUCCGCGCCGCAUUAGCUAGUUGGUAAGGUAACGGCUUACCAAGGCGACGAUGCGUAGCCGACCUGAGAGGGUGAUCGGCCACACUGGAACUGAGACACGGUCCAGACUCCUACGGGAGGCAGCAGUAGGGAAUCUUCCGCAAUGGGCGAAAGCCUGACGGAGCAACGCCGCGUGAGUGAUGAAGGUCUUCGGAUCGUAAAACUCUGUUAUUAGGGAAGAACAAAUGUGUAAGUAACUAUGCACGUCUUGACGGUACCGAAUCAGAAAGCCACGGCUAACUACGUG
Molecule: ribosomal RNA, 497 nt
Filed under: uncultured bacterium
Lineage: Bacteria
Description: partial 16S ribosomal RNA
Rfam family: Bacterial small subunit ribosomal RNA
Source: RNAcentral